RNAcentral lists this ribosomal RNA (424 nucleotides) under uncultured bacterium. RNAcentral describes it as "bacterial SSU rRNA". It matches the Rfam family "Bacterial small subunit ribosomal RNA", at positions 355 to 796 of the family's 1533-position model. The record is from RNAcentral.
UUGGGAAUCUUGGACAAUGGGGGAAACCCUGAUCCAGCCAUGCCGCGUGAGUGAUGAAGGCCUUCGGGUUGUAAAACUCUUUCGCGCACGACGAUAAUGACGGUAGUGCGAGAAGAAGCUCCGGCUAACUUCGUGCCAGCAGCCGCGGUAAUACGAAGGGGGCUAGCGUUGUUCGGAAUUACUGGGCGUAAAGCGCGCGCAGGCGGUCUUCCAAGUCAGUGGUGAAAGCCCGGAGCUCAACUCCGGAACUGCCAUUGAAACUGUUAGACUUGAGUAUGAGAGAGGUGAGUGGAAUUCCCAGUGUAGAGGUGAAAUUCGUAGAUAUUGGGAAGAACACCGGUGGCGAAGGCGGCUCACUGGCUCAUUACUGACGCUCAGGCGCGACAGCGUGGGGAUCAAACAGGAUUAGAUACCCCCGUAGUCC